RNAcentral lists this ribosomal RNA (477 nucleotides) under uncultured bacterium. RNAcentral's name for it is "SSU rRNA". It matches the Rfam family "Bacterial small subunit ribosomal RNA", at positions 26 to 518 of the family's 1533-position model. The record is from RNAcentral.
AGGACAAACGCUGGCGGGGUGCAUGAGACAUGCAAGUCGAACGAGGUGCCAUCGGGCUUGCUCGAUGGUUACCUAGUGGCGGACGGCUGAGUAACGCGUAGGUGACCUACCCGGAAGUGGGGAAUAACUGCCCGAAAGGGUGGCUAAUACCGCAUGUGGUCGGCGAUUCGAUUCGCCGUCUAAAGGAGCAAUUCGCUUCCGGAGGGGCCUGCGUCCGAUUAGCUAGUUGGUGGGGUAACGGCUCACCAAGGCGACGAUCGGUAGCUGGUCUGAGAGGAUGAUCAGCCAGACUGGGACUGAGAACGGCCCAGACUCCUACGGGAGGCAGCAGUCGGGAAUUUUGCCAAUGACGAAAGUCUGAGGCAGCAACUCCGCGUGAGGGAUGAAGGCUCUCGGGUCGUAAACCUCUUUUCUCAGGGAAGAUCCAAGACGGUACCUGAGGAAUAAGCGACGGCUAACUACGUAGCCAGCAGCCGC